CGGGGGGUAGCGCAGUCCGGUUCAGCGCGCAUGGUUCGGGACCAUGAGGCCGAGGGUUCAAAUCCCUCCCCCCCGA
RNAcentral lists this transfer RNA (76 nucleotides) under bacterium. RNAcentral's name for it is "tRNA-Pro". It matches the Rfam family "tRNA". Rfam says of the family: Transfer RNA (tRNA) molecules are approximately 80 nucleotides in length. Their secondary structure includes four short double-helical elements and three loops (D, anti-codon, and T loops). Further hydrogen bonds mediate the characteristic L-shaped molecular structure. tRNAs have two regions of fundamental functional importance: the anti-codon, which is responsible for specific mRNA codon recognition, and the 3' end, to which the tRNAs corresponding amino acid is attached (by aminoacyl-tRNA synthetases). tRNAs cope with the degeneracy of the genetic code in two manners: having more than one tRNA (with a specific anti-codon) for a particular amino acid; and 'wobble' base-pairing, i.e. permitting non-standard base-pairing at the 3rd anti-codon position. The record is from RNAcentral.